This 93-nucleotide transfer RNA is filed under the name Penicillium brasilianum. It matches the Rfam family "tRNA". Rfam says of the family: Transfer RNA (tRNA) molecules are approximately 80 nucleotides in length. Their secondary structure includes four short double-helical elements and three loops (D, anti-codon, and T loops). The record is from Rfam by way of RNAcentral. Lineage: Eukaryota; Fungi; Ascomycota; Eurotiomycetes; Eurotiales; Aspergillaceae.
GCUCCUUUCGUGUAGUUGGUUAUCACGUGGGAUUUUGAUAUUUUCCUUUCCAUUAGUCUUCCCAAAACGCAAGUUCGAAUCUUGCAAGGAGCU